Molecule: ribosomal RNA, 994 nt
Filed under: Siphosturmia sp. JOS-2001
Lineage: Eukaryota; Metazoa; Arthropoda; Insecta; Diptera; Tachinidae
Description: eukaryotic LSU rRNA
Rfam family: Eukaryotic large subunit ribosomal RNA
Source: RNAcentral
CACUUUGUCUUUAUGGCAAAUGUGAGAUGCAGUGUAUGGAAUGUCAAAUUUCUAGUAUGAGAAAUUAACGAUUUAAGUCCUUCUUAAAUGAGGCCAUUUACCCAUAGAGGGUGCCAGGCCCGUAUAACGUUAAUGAUUACUAGAUGAUGUUUCCAAAGAGUCGUGUUGCUUGAUAGUGCAGCACUAAGUGGGUGGUAAACUCCAUCUAAAACUAAAUACAACCAUGAGACCGAUAGUAAACAAGUACCGUGAGGGAAAGUUGAAAAGAACUCUGAAUAGAGAGUUAAAUAGUACGUGAAACUGCUUAGAGGUUAAGCCCGAUGAACCUGAAUAUCCAUUAUAGAAAAUUCAUCAUUAUGAUUUUUAAUAUUGAUCCAUCAAUAUUAUAAUUAAUAGUGUGCAUUUUUUCUAUAUAGGACAUUGUAAUCUAUUGACAUAAUUAUAAAUUUAUCAUAAGAUCAAUUGCUAAAGUUUAUUUGGAUUAUUUUGCUUGCAAUUUAACAUAAAAUAAAUGCUUUUGAUUUGAUAAAGUGUCGAUAGAUUUGGUAUAUAUAGUGCUUGAAUAUAUUUUUUAUAUUCUAUAAUAGCAUAUUAAUUAUUAAUUUUUAUGGUUAUUUUAUGCACUUAUAUGAUUAACAAUGCGAAAGAUUCAGGAUACCUUCGGGACCCGUCUUGAAACACGGACCAAGGAGUCUAACAUAUUUGCAAGUUAUUGGGAAUAAAAACCUAAUAGCGUAAUUAACAUAUCUUAUAUAUGGGAUUAGUUUUUAGCCUAUUUUUUAUAGUCUAUUAAUUCAAUCCCGGGGCGUUCUAUAUAGUUAUGUAUAAUAAUAUUUAUAUUAUUUAUACCUCUAACUAGAGCGUACCUUGAGCAUAUAUGCUGUGACCCGAAAGAUGGUGAACUAUACUUGAUCAGGUUGAAGUCAGGGGAAACCCUGAUGGAAGACCGAAACAGUUCUGACGUGCAAAUCGAUUGUCAGAAUUGCAGUAUAGG